Molecule: long non-coding RNA, 219 nt
Filed under: Nicotiana benthamiana
Lineage: Eukaryota; Viridiplantae; Streptophyta; Magnoliopsida; Solanales; Solanaceae
Description: long non-coding RNA (NBEN_LNC020083)
Source: RNAcentral
GCAUGAAGGGGCUAAAUUAAAUGAAAUAUGUUCUUUUUAUACAUAUGUUUAAAAAGCACUUACCUAAGUUUCAAAUUUUUCAAAAUAAAACAGGAGGAUGGGCAAAAAUCUCAAUUUCAAUUGAAAGAAUAAGUUGAAUGAAAAGUUUUUGAUUUAUCUAUCAUUAUAGGCAGACAGCACUAACAAAGAUAAAGUGACAGACAUAUAAAAGAAAUUGAU